Molecule: long non-coding RNA, 1041 nt
Organism: Astatotilapia calliptera (eastern happy)
Lineage: Eukaryota; Metazoa; Chordata; Actinopteri; Cichliformes; Cichlidae
Source: Ensembl
GGGUCUUACAAAAAAAAAAGAAAAUAGGUCUACUGGGUCUCACGGUAGCUCACACUUCACUUAUUGUUUGGUAUUGCACAUUUCAUUGCUGUUAUUAUUUGGAGACUACAGCAAAAUGAAAGAGAAGCAGAAACCAAAAAUUGACAAACAUCAAAAAACACAUUCCUUAAACUGUGGGAUUUCACACAAUUAAAUAUGUAUUUGUUCAGUAAUAUAAGUUUUGCUUAGAGAUUUAUUUUGGGUGGGAAAUCUACCAUCAACUUUUUUCAGGACCUAGCAAGGUUUGAAUUUUUAAUUUAUUUUUAUUUUGUUAUUUUGUUUUGUUUUCUUUUGACACAUUUAAGUCAAACACCACUUGAGAUUUAUAAUGUGCAGUGCACAAAAAAUCAAUUUGAGUAUUUAAAGUUUGCAUACAUUAAAACGCUACAACAAACAGCAGAAAGCUUUUAAAUCCACCAGACAACAAGAGAUGUCUCAUCCUGGAGCUUUCGUCAAUGAAAGCGUGAUUGACAGUAAAGAAUUAUUCAUGGUAUAUUUACACAUUAAGCUCAGUAAGAGGUGUCACAUUAAUUGUCAAGUGUUGCUUUAAGGUUCAGUGUCCCACAGCAAUUAGAUUUUUAGCAAUCUAAGCCUUUAAAAUAUGCAACUUCAGUCAUUUCCUAUGGUAUGGAAGCGUUUAAUUUUACACCAAUCAUUUCUUUAGGACAGGGUGUCAGGGUUUUUUUCUUCUGCUGGUUAUUAAUAGUGUCAUCUGAUAUUGUUCAGACUGUCAGCAUCUGUUUUGAUCCAGCCUUAAUCAAAAGUAUGAUCUUUCACUAAAGUUUUUUUGCAUUGCCCUCAUCUCAGACAGGAGUCUGCACUCUGAAAGCCCACCACUCAUUCCAGCUACCUCCCCCUCUGCGACUCCUUUUCAUACAGAUGUGUAUUGAGACAUUCUAACGUUGGAUGAAUUCACUAAUUCCUGUGUCUUCAUACAUUUUCUUUUAAAGUCACCUUGUAUAUGUAUAAAGUACAUAUGCCUAUGUAUAAAGUACCUUUAAG